AGCUUUAGUAGCCCGAUUGGUAGAGCAUUGGAUUCAUAAUCCAAGGGUUGUGGGCUCAAUACCCAUCUGGGCCA
This is a non-coding RNA of Potamilus streckersoni, 74 nucleotides long. The record is from the annotation of a GenBank genome assembly. NCBI's taxonomy places the organism in Eukaryota, Metazoa, Mollusca, Bivalvia, Unionida, Unionidae.